This 792-nucleotide ribosomal RNA is filed under the name uncultured Lactobacillus sp. RNAcentral's name for it is "bacterial SSU rRNA". It matches the Rfam family "Bacterial small subunit ribosomal RNA", at positions 28 to 776 of the family's 1533-position model. Lineage: Bacteria; Bacillati; Bacillota; Bacilli; Lactobacillales; Lactobacillaceae. The record is from RNAcentral.
GAUGAACGCCGGCGGUGUGCCUAAUACAUGCAAGUCGAACGCGUUGGCCCAAUUGAUUGACGGUGCUUGCACCUGAUUGAUUUUGGUCGCCAACGAGUGGCGGACGGGUGAGUAACACGUAGGUAACCUGCCCAGAAGCGGGGGACAACAUUUGGAAACAGAUGCUAAUACCGCAUAACAGCGUUGUUCGCAUGAACAACACUUAAAAGAUGGCUUCUCGCUAUCACUUCUGGAUGGACCUGCGGUGCAUUAGCUUGUUGGUGGGGUAACGGCCUACCAAGGCGAUGAUGCAUAGCCGAGUUGAGAGACUGAUCGGCCACAAUGGGACUGAGACACGGCCCAUACUCCUACGGGAGGCAGCAGUAGGGAAUCUUCCACAAUGGGCGCAAGCCUGAUGGAGCAACACCGCGUGAGUGAAGAAGGGUUUCGGCUCGUAAAGCUCUGUUGUUAAAGAAGAACACGUAUGAGAGUAACUGUUCAUACGUUGACGGUAUUUAACCAGAAAGUCACGGCUAACUACGUGCCAGCAGCCGCGGUAAUACGUAGGUGGCAAGCGUUAUCCGGAUUUAUUGGGCGUAAAGAGAGUGCAGGCGGUUUUCUAAGUCUGAUGUGAAAGCCUUCGGCUUAACCGGAGAAGUGCAUCGGAAACUGGAUAACUUGAGUGCAGAAGAGGGUAGUGGAACUCCAUGUGUAGCGGUGGAAUGCGUAGAUAUAUGGAAGAACACCAGUGGCGAAGGCGGCUACCUGGUCUGCAACUGACGCUGAGACUCGAAAGCAUGGGUAGCGAACAGG